GGAUUAGAUACCCUGGUAGUCCACGCCGUAAACGAUGAUCACUAGACGUUAGUUCUGCUCUGCAGGAUUAGUGUCGUAGCUAACGCGUUAAGUGAUCCGCCUGGGGACUACGGUCGCAAGAUUAAAACUUAAAGAAAUUGACGGGGGCCCGCACAAGCGGUGGAACAUGUGGUUUAAUUCGACACUACGCGAGAAACCUUACCUAGGCUUGACAUGUUUUUGACAGUCGUAGAAAUACGAUCUUCUUAGCGAAAGCUAAGACAAUUUCACAGGUGCUGCAUGGCUGUCGUCAGCUCGUGUUG
RNAcentral lists this ribosomal RNA (302 nucleotides) under uncultured bacterium. RNAcentral describes it as "bacterial SSU rRNA". It matches the Rfam family "Bacterial small subunit ribosomal RNA", at positions 775 to 1067 of the family's 1533-position model. The record is from RNAcentral.